UACGUGGGGUGCAAGCGUUAUCCGGAUUUACUGGGCGUAAAGCGUACCGUCGGUGGCUUUUUAAGUUUCUUGUUUAAUCCCAGGGCUCAACUCUGGAGCAGCAAGAAAAACUGAAUCGCUUGAGUUUGUUUGGGGCAGCUGGAAUUCUCAGUGGAGGGGUGAAAUCCGUAGAUAUUGAGAGGAAUGCCAAUCGCGAAGGCAGGCUGCUAAGACAUAACUGACACUCAUGGACGAAAGCUAGGGUAGCAAAAGGG
RNAcentral lists this ribosomal RNA (254 nucleotides) under uncultured prokaryote. RNAcentral describes it as "partial 16S ribosomal RNA". It matches the Rfam family "Bacterial small subunit ribosomal RNA", at positions 524 to 776 of the family's 1533-position model. The record is from RNAcentral.